GAAUGAAACAAUCGGUGCAAUUUUGUCCUAUGUUCUUUUCUUCUUUUCCUUUUUCUUGUAUAAAAAAUUGUUCAAAAUAUAACUUUCUUUCCUAAAUUUCUUUGCAACAUUGAUCUAGAUAGCCUUAUCUUGUACAGGGGAUUUUCAACUUUCCAUGCUUUAAUUGCAGCAUGGGCUUCUCUCUACCUCCUACUAUUCUCAGAUCUUUUUGACGAGGAUUCCAGUAAUGACUUGAUUGUUAAUAGAUUCCAAAUCCCAAGAUAGCUCAAAAGGGGAGAGGCAAGUUUACAUAAUCUUUUUUACUUGAAUGAUUUUCACAUUGAUUUCUUAGCUGUGGGAUUUAUUGAAUUCAGGAAUAGAGAAACAUUCCCAGAUGAGACUGAAGCCUGUAAACGCUGCAACUGUAGAAGAUCCAGAUGUUUGACACUGUAAGUUCACAUGCGAGACAGAACAUUUCACUUAAGUACUAUGUUACUCGGACUUGGUUUAAGUAUGUACCCGAGAUCGCUAUCUUUAGUUUUCUUUUAAGUUUUCUUCAUGUAUUUAGAAGAUGUUUGGAAUAUGAUACCCCGAAUGUUCAGAGGGUGCUCAAAAAAAGUGAAGAUGUUUAGAAGAUGUUUGGAACAUCUGUUGAGUUUUGUUGUAUGUUGUGAUCAGCAGUUAUUGUGAGUGCUUUGCAGCAGGGAUUUACUGCAAGGAUUGUUGUGCAUGUGAUAACUGUUUGAACACGCCAGAUUAUGAGGAUAUUGUGCUUGAUAUUCGACAUCAAAUUGAAUUGCGUAACCCUCUCGCAUUUGCUCCUCCUAUUGUUAACCCACCUAAUGAUUCCCCUAAUGUUACUGUAAUUAUAACUUGAUAAUCUUACACUUUUUUUUUUCUCUUUAAAUUUGUGUAAUUUCUUAAGUGUUUGACAUGAGAAAAUAUGAAAACUUGAUGAACACUCAUUCAGCCAGGCACAAAAGCGGAUGCAAAUACAAGAAGUCAAAAUGCCUAAAAUAGUAUUGUGAGUGCUAUCGGGUAUGUUUUAACUUGGUAGCUCCAUGUUACUUAUGUUGCUCCCAAUUUCCUUUUUUAUUUUUAAGAACUUGUAUUCAAGAUCCAUGUGUAAUAUACACCUGGAUAUAGAUCUGUUAUAUGACUCUCCAAGUGUAUAAAAAAAACUCUUUAAAUUAUUGAACAAAUCAGUGUUAGACAUAAACUGACAAUACUCAAGUUUGUGUUUAAUAUAUGGUUGUCAUCUUAUUUCCUUUUUGGAUGAAAAGUCAACUUGUUAAGAUGAUAUAGUGUAUGAACUUAAUUACCUCUAAUCAAUCCGACUGCACAAGCAUUCUUCAUUUAUUUUUAGGCUAAGGAUGCCACUGUGAGGAUUGUGACAAUUCUUUUGGCAAUAAGUCGGGUAAUUUCUAAACUUGAAAAUGAUUUAACAUAUCUAUAAUGGACACAUUUCUGGAUCGUAGGGGUGAAACCAGAAUUUUUUUUGGGAUCGAGACUAAGUUACACAUUUUUGUAUGAGCUAAAAUAUAUUAGUUUAUAACUUUAUAUUUUUUAGAAUGAUUAAAUCAAAAUUUCAUUAUUCUGAGGGUCAAACUAUAAUUUCACCAUGAAUUAACUUGUAAUUUUAUAGAUUUUGGGAUCUAUAACCCUGCCUCCCCUCCCUUCCCCAUGCUGAAUCUGAUGCUCCCACCCGAUCAUUUGUAACAUGGACCAUUAAAUACUUACUUGUCCUGAUUUGAAUGAUGAAUGCUGACCCUAGCUGUGAUGCUUACGUACAAGUAUUAUAUACCCAAUUAUUAGUGACUAACUAACUUCACCAUGCUGGAGCUACAGAAUCAAUGUUCCAGAGAGUGGAAAAACAGCAGAAUCAGUCUCAUGAGAUGCUAAAUACAGCUCAAGUUAUGUCUGACAGCA
This 1908-nucleotide long non-coding RNA is filed under the name Gossypium barbadense (sea-island cotton). Its description in RNAcentral is "long non-coding RNA (GBAR_LNC023160)". The record is from RNAcentral. Lineage: Eukaryota; Viridiplantae; Streptophyta; Magnoliopsida; Malvales; Malvaceae.